RNAcentral lists this ribosomal RNA (402 nucleotides) under uncultured bacterium. RNAcentral's name for it is "bacterial SSU rRNA". It matches the Rfam family "Bacterial small subunit ribosomal RNA", at positions 355 to 774 of the family's 1533-position model. The record is from RNAcentral.
UGGGGAAUCUUGGACAAUGGGGGCAACCCUGAUCCAGCGAUGCCGCGUGAGCGAAGAAGGCCUUAGGGUUGUAAAGCCCUUUCGCCCGCGACGAUGAUGACGGUAGCGGGAGAAGAAGCCCCGGCUAACUCCGUGCCAGCAGCCGCGGUAAUACGGAGGGGGCUAGCGUUGUCCGGAAUUACUGGGCGUAAAGCGCGCGUAGGCGGUCCACCAAGUCGGGGGUGAAAGCCCGGGGCUCAACCCCGGAAUGUCCUCCGAGACUGUUGGACUGGAGUUCGGGAGAGGAGAGCGGAAUUCCCAGUGUAGAGGUGAAAUUCGUAGAUAUUGGGAAGAACACCGGUGGCGAAGGCGGCUCUCUGGCCCGCAACUGACGCUGAGGCGCGAAAGCGUGGGGAGCAAACA